GACGAACGCUGGCGGCGUGCUUAACACAUGCAAGUCGAACGGAAAGGCCCUGCUUUUGUGGGGUGCUCGAGUGGCGAACGGGUGAGUAACACGUGAGUAACCUGCCCUUGACUUUGGGAUAACUUCAGGAAACUGGGGCUAAUACCGGAUAGGAGCUCCUGCCGCAUGGUGGGGGUUGGAAAGUUUCGGCGGUUGGGGAUGGACUCGCGGCUUAUCAGCUUGUUGGUGGGGUAGUGGCUUACCAAGGCUUUGACGGGUAGCCGGCCUGAGAGGGUGACCGGCCACAUUGGGACUGAGAUACGGCCCAGACUCCUACGGGAGGCAGCAGUGGGGAAUAUCGCACAAUGGGCGGAAGCCUGAUGCAGCAACGCCGCGUGCGGGAUGACGGCCUUCGGGUUGUAAACCGCUUUCGCCUGUGACGAAGCGUGAGUGACGGUAAUGGGUAAAGAAGCACCGGCUAACUACGUG
This 468-nucleotide ribosomal RNA is filed under the name uncultured bacterium. RNAcentral's name for it is "partial 16S ribosomal RNA". It matches the Rfam family "Bacterial small subunit ribosomal RNA", at positions 28 to 507 of the family's 1533-position model. The record is from RNAcentral.